Molecule: long non-coding RNA, 1150 nt
Organism: Myotis lucifugus (little brown bat)
Lineage: Eukaryota; Metazoa; Chordata; Mammalia; Chiroptera; Vespertilionidae
Exons: 4
Source: RefSeq, a predicted model, not a curated record
AAUGGUUGGACACUUAGCAUAUUAGGCUUUUAUUAUAUAGGAUUCUAAAAUUUAUAAAUAUUUAAAAGAACAUUUUUAAAAUCUGAAAGCAUGUAUUGUAUGAUUUUCUUCGCUCCUUUCCUCCCUCCCUUCCUCCCUCCCUCCCUUCCUUCCUUCCUUCCUUCCUUCCUUCCUUCCUUCCUUCCUUCUUUCCACCCACCCAUACAUCCAUCUGUUCUUCCAUCAAUUCUCUCUAUAUAUACAUAAAGAGAUGCCUGUAAUGCUGUCCACCACAUUUUAAGGACUCCUGUAUAUGACUCUUGGAAUUUGUGGUUGCAACAGUUUUCAGAAAUGAUCAGAGUCCAGUGACAAGCAACAAAACCCGUGGUCUGAGUCUCACUCCCAUUUCCUGGUGUCUUCAUCUUCCUCCCCAUUUGUCUUCCCAUCAUUGCUGUUCUGUGUACCAAGCCAAGAGCCCAGAAAUAUCUGACUAAAACAAGUCAAGUGUUCACAUAUGUUGAUUUCCAAAAAAGCCAACCAAAACAGAAAUGAACUAAAAAGGACAAAAUAUUAAAAAUUCUUCUAAAUCAUUUACUUUUCAGUGGGCCUCCAUUUUGGAUUUCUAGUAUAUGUUCUUUCUGAAGCUCCUGUCUUCCAGGCUCACAGAAUCUGCAGUGGCAGCAUUUAUCUUUUUGAGUGUGUCCAAGUUUAAGGUUUGAAGUAAUUAUGAAGAACAUCUGACUAGGAGAAAAACAAAAGCCAAUAAGAAAACUUGUGAAAAGGGGAGAAAAGUCAAGUAUGGUCGGCCCUGAUAUGUACCAUGAAGAGCCCUCUUCAAGGAAAGAUUUGCUGACCAGCAGUAGGAAAUGCAACCAGUAGACAGCCUCCAGCUGUCAGCUUCUUCAGGAGCUGCCUCAGCUGCAGAGUCUCUGCCUGAAGUCAUGCCCAUCUUGGGGCAGUCUGGAUCUGGUGACUGAACAUGGGCUGGUCAUUUUUUUUCAGGGAUAUAAAGUCCCAGGCAGUUAUUUUGGGACAAUGCCAAAGGACAUUUUUCACUCCAGAGCUCCCACUAGGCUGGCCUAUGUUGCAGUUUGACUUUUCCCUCUGCCAAUCCUGCUCCCCCCACUUUCUGUCACGGGUGUUGAUUUUAAUAAACAUCUUGUGCCCAAAA